Molecule: ribosomal RNA, 301 nt
Filed under: uncultured bacterium
Lineage: Bacteria
Description: partial 16S ribosomal RNA
Rfam family: Bacterial small subunit ribosomal RNA
Source: RNAcentral
CAGCCGCCGCGGGAAUACGUAGGGUGCGAGCGUUAAUCGGAAUUACUGGGCGUAAAGCGUGCGCAGGCGGUUAUGUAAGACAGAUGUGAAAUCCCCGGGCUCAACCUGGGAACUGCAUUUGUGACUGCAUGGCUAGAGUACGGUAGAGGGGGAUGGAAUUCCGCGUGUAGCAGUGAAAUGCGUAGAUAUGCGGAGGAACACCGAUGGCGAAGGCAAUCCCCUGGACCUGUACUGACGCUCAUGCACGAAAGCGUGGGGAGCAAACAGGAUUAGAUACCCCGGUAGUCCCUGUCUCUUAUAC